Molecule: ribosomal RNA, 494 nt
Filed under: uncultured bacterium
Lineage: Bacteria
Description: partial 16S ribosomal RNA
Rfam family: Bacterial small subunit ribosomal RNA
Source: RNAcentral
AUUGAACGCUGGCGGCAUGCCUUACACAUGCAAGUCGAACGGCAGCAGGGUGGAGCUUGCUUCUUUGCCGGCGCGUGGCGAACGGGUGUGUAAUAUACCGCAACGUGUCGUGUUGCGGGGGGUAACCACCCGAAAAGCUGGCUCUUAUCGCAUAAAUUACGUGCAAGUAAGCUCGGGACUUCUUCAUACGUUUCGCGCUUUUUUAGCGCCAGAUGUCGGAUUAGCUAGUUGGUGAGGUAAAGGCUCACCAAGGCGAAGAUCUGUAGCGGGUCUGAGAGGAUGAUCCGCCACACUGGAACUGAGACACGGCCCAGACUCCUACGGGAGGCAGCAGUGGGGAAUUUUGGACAAUGGGGGCAACCCUGAUCCAGCCAUGCCGCGUGGAUGAAGAAGGCCUUAGGGUUGUAAAGUACUUUUGUUAGGAAAGAAAAGUCAGAUGUGAAUAAUGGCUGGUACUGACGGUACCUAAAGAAUAAGCACCGGCUAACUACGUG